This 253-nucleotide ribosomal RNA is filed under the name uncultured bacterium. Its description in RNAcentral is "partial 16S ribosomal RNA". It matches the Rfam family "Bacterial small subunit ribosomal RNA", at positions 524 to 776 of the family's 1533-position model. The record is from RNAcentral.
UACGAAGGGGGCUAGCGUUGCUCGGAAUCACUGGGCGUAAAGGGUGCGUAGGCGGGUCUUUAAGUCAGGGGUGAAAUCCUGGAGCUCAACUCCAGAACUGCCUUUGAUACUGAAGAUCUUGAGUUCGGGAGAGGUGAGUGGAACUGCGAGUGUAGAGGUGAAAUUCGUAGAUAUUCGCAAGAACACCAGUGGCGAAGGCGGCUCACUGGCCCGAUACUGACGCCGGGGCACGAAAGCGUGGGGAGCAAACAGG